UACGACUACAUAUCAGGCAUAUCAAUAAGCGGAGGAAAAGAAACUAACUAGGAUUCCCUUAGUAACGGCGAGUGAAGCGGGAAGAGCUCAAAUUUGAAAUCUUCAAGGUUCUACCUUGACGAAUUGUAGUUUAAAGAAGUGUUUUCUGUUGGAGUUUUGGUAAAAGUUCUUUGGAAUAGGACAUCAUAGAGGGUGAGAAUCCCGUAUUUGACCAUUUCUUCCAGCUGUGUGAUACGCUUUCAAAGAGUCGGAUUGUUUGGGAAUGCAGUCCAAAAUGGGUGGUAAAUUUCAUCUAAAGCUAAAUAUUGGCGAGAGACCGAUAGCGAACAAGUACCGUGAGGGAAAGAUGAAAAGAACUUUGAAAAGAGAGUUAAACAGUACGUGAAAUUGUCAAAAGGGAAGCGUUUGACACCAGUGUUGUUUUCUCGAAAAUCAAUUAAAAAUGACCGGAUUUUGUGUUGUAUUGACUUUAUCAGCUUACUGUACUUUUUUCCUGCUCUUUUUAAUGCACUUUUCGUUUAACAAGUCAACAUCAAUUUCUUUUGUUGUAAAAGAGUCAUUGGAAGGUGGCUUUCACUUCGGUGAAAGUGUUUAUAGCCUUUGACUUCUGCAAUCGGAGAGAUUGAGGUCUGCAGCGUAGAUCCUUCGGGGUUAGAUACAUUAGAUGCUAAGUUAUAGUUUUUUAUAGACAACUUGUUGACUAUAGUUAGUCAUGUAGCUUACUCGCUUAUGCCUAAUUUUACCUACGCUUAGGAUGUUGAACGCGCACAGAGUCUC
Molecule: ribosomal RNA, 777 nt
Filed under: uncultured Neocallimastigales
Lineage: Eukaryota; Fungi; Neocallimastigomycota; Neocallimastigomycetes; Neocallimastigales
Description: partial large subunit ribosomal RNA
Rfam family: Eukaryotic large subunit ribosomal RNA
Source: RNAcentral